This 460-nucleotide ribosomal RNA is filed under the name uncultured bacterium. Its description in RNAcentral is "partial 16S ribosomal RNA". It matches the Rfam family "Bacterial small subunit ribosomal RNA", at positions 338 to 795 of the family's 1533-position model. The record is from RNAcentral.
CCUACGGGCGGCAGCAGUGAGGAAUAUUGGUCAAUGGCCGGAAGGCUGAACCAGCCAUGCCGCGUGAAGGUCAGUGCCCUAUGGGCGUUAAACUUCUUUUGUGCGGGAGCAAUAAUGGUCACGUGUGGCCAGACGAGAGUACCGUACGAAUAAGCAUCGGCUAACUCCGUGCCAGCAGCCGCGGUAAUACGGGGGAUGCAAGCGUUAUCCGGAUUUAUUGGGGUUAAAGGGUGCGUAGGCUGUGAGGUAAGUCAGCGGUGAAAUGCCCCCGCUCAACGGGGUGAAGUGCCAUUGAUACUGCCUUGCUGGAAUGCGGAUGCCGUGGGAGGAAUGUGUGGUGUAGCGGUGAAAUGCAUAGAUAUCACACAGAACACCGAUUGCGAAGGCAUCUCACGAAUCCGCGAUUGAUGCUGAUGCACGAAAGCGUGGGUAUCAAACAGGAUUAGAUACCCCUGUAGUC